This 67-nucleotide transfer RNA is filed under the name Papilio polytes (common Mormon). RNAcentral's name for it is "tRNA-Val". The record is from RNAcentral. Lineage: Eukaryota; Metazoa; Arthropoda; Insecta; Lepidoptera; Papilionidae.
CAGUUUAGAGCUUGUUUCUGAUUUCUUUUCCCUUGAAAAGUGAUUAGAUAUUAAUUUAGUGAUGUGA